CAAUAGCGUAUAUUUAAGUUGUUGCAGUUAAAAAGCUCGUAGUUGGAUUUCUGCUGAUCGCUGUCGGUCUGCCGUCAGGUGUGUACUGGCAGUGUUUGGCAUCUAUUCGAGAUUGGGUGUCCACUUGAUUGUGUGCACUCGAUGUCGGAGCUAAUACUUUGAGAAAAUUAGAGUGUUCCACGCAGGCGCGUGCCUUGAAUACUGCAGCAUGGGAUAUUGGAAGGCCGAUUGAGCUUUCUUGUUGGUUCUCGGUUUGAUCGGAAUGAUUAAUAGGGAUAGUUGGGGGCAUUCGUAUUCAACUGUCAGAGGUGAAAUUCUUGGAUUUGUUGAAGACGGACUACUGCGAAAGCAUCUGCCAUGGAUGUUCUCAUUAA
Molecule: ribosomal RNA, 374 nt
Filed under: uncultured eukaryote
Lineage: Eukaryota
Description: partial 18S ribosomal RNA
Rfam family: Eukaryotic small subunit ribosomal RNA
Source: RNAcentral